RNAcentral lists this ribosomal RNA (229 nucleotides) under uncultured bacterium. RNAcentral's name for it is "partial 16S ribosomal RNA". It matches the Rfam family "Bacterial small subunit ribosomal RNA", at positions 106 to 334 of the family's 1533-position model. The record is from RNAcentral.
GGGAGUAACGCGUGGGUAACCGUGCCUCAUACAGGGGGAUAACAGUUAGAAAUGACUGCUAAUACCGCAUAAGCGCACAGUGCUGCAUGGCACAGUGUGAAAAACUCCGGUGGUAUGAGAUGGACCCGCGUCUGAUUAGCUAGUUGGUGGGGUAACGGCCUACCAAGGCGACGAUCAGUAGCCGGCCUGAGAGGGUGAACGGCCACAUUGGGACUGAGACACGGCCCAA